This 420-nucleotide ribosomal RNA is filed under the name bacterium. Its description in RNAcentral is "partial 16S ribosomal RNA". It matches the Rfam family "Bacterial small subunit ribosomal RNA", at positions 355 to 776 of the family's 1533-position model. The record is from RNAcentral.
UGGGGGAUAUUGCACAAUGGGCGAAAGCCUGAUGCAGCGACGCCGCGUGGGGGAUGAAGGCUUUCGGGUUGUAAACCUCUUUCGCUAUCGAACAAGGCCCGCCUAGGGUGGGUUGAGGGUAGGUGGAGAAGAAGCGCCGGCUAACUACGUGCCAGCAGCCGCGGUAAUACGUAGGGCGCGAGCGUUGUCCGGAAUUAUUGGGCGUAAAGGGCUUGUAGGCGGCUUGUUGCGCUGGCUGUGAAAACGCGGGGCUUAACUUCGCGCGUGCAGUGGGUACGGGCAGGCUUGAGUGUGGUAGGGGUGACUGGAAUUCCAGGUGUAGCGGUGGAAUGCGCAGAUAUCUGGAGGAACACCGAUGGCGAAGGCAGGUCACUGGGCCAUUACUGACGCUGAGGAGCGAAAGCAUGGGUAGCGAACAGG